Molecule: ribosomal RNA, 509 nt
Filed under: uncultured bacterium
Lineage: Bacteria
Description: partial 16S ribosomal RNA
Source: RNAcentral
GGAGUUAGCCGGUGCUUCUUCUGCGAGUAACGUCACAGAUGUAAGGUAUUAACUUACACCCUUUCCUCCUCGCUGAAAGUGCUUUACAACCCGAAGGCCUUCUUCACACACGCGGCAUGGCUGCAUCAGGGUUUCCCCCAUUGUGCAAUAUUCCCCACUGCUGCCUCCCGUAGGAGUCUGGGCCGUGUCUCAGUCCCAGUGUGGCUGAUCAUCCUCUCAGACCAGCUAGGGAUCGUCGCCUAGGUGAGCCUUUACCUCACCUACUAGCUAAUCCCACCUGGGCUUAUCCAUCAGCGCAAGGCCCGAAGGUCCCCUGCUUUCCCCCGUAGGGCGUAUGCGGUAUUAGCAGUCGUUUCCAACUGUUAUCCCCCACAAAUGGGCAAAUUCCCAGGCAUUACUCACCCGUCCGCCGCUCGUCAUCUUCAAAGCAAGCUUUUGAAUGUUACCGCUCGACUUGCAUGUGUUAGGCCUGCCGCCAGCGUUCAAUCUGAGCCAGAAUCGAACCCUGA